RNAcentral lists this long non-coding RNA (1094 nucleotides) under Anas platyrhynchos platyrhynchos (common mallard). RNAcentral describes it as "lncRNA (ENSAPLG00000021778.1)". The record is from RNAcentral. Lineage: Eukaryota; Metazoa; Chordata; Aves; Anseriformes; Anatidae.
CUACCAUGCACUCGUAGGCUGGAUUUCUGUUGGCUUGAGAAGGAGAAGUAUCACCGAAAUGGGAUUCUUUGAAACCUGUUGUUUACUGCUUCUGGGUUGAGCAGCGACUGGUGUUCAAAUUACCACCAGCUGCUUGCUUUGGGUUUGCAAGCAACAUCUCUUACAGCUUGUUCAAGCUUCGUUAAGGUGGGGCACAGGUCAACCAUGUGUUGUAAGUAAACUCAGCAGCAGUCUAUCCAAAACCAACACUGUAAAUAUAGACUGCAAUGAGCACAUCUAGCACUGUGCACUCAUACAGUGCUCGGCAAAAAGACAUUUCUUCUUGAAGCAAAAAGACAAAGCACAAAGACCAAGAAAUAGUGGCAUAGUGAUUUACCGCAGGCAUACUUCUGUUGACAACAGUUUGCUCGUACUUUUUACCUUUUGAUGCUGUGUUAGAAUAGUUGUGUGCUACCCUGACAACUCUUCCUUCAUGUGAGAUUUUAUCAAAGCUCAUUACAAGAACAAGGCAGAUUAAACAAUGUGCUGAGCUUUAUUAACAACAUCUGUCUUGGGAGAGAUUUUGUGUCUUUUAAGGGUGAGAUGCUCUGUCAUCACAAGUGGCUCCCGUUCUUCCACGGCUUCCAGAAGGCGCCUUUCCUCGUAUUCAUCCAGAGGCAGCUUGGACGAGCGGGCUGAGGCUGUUAGAGGGAAUGUACAAAGAGGCAAGUGAAGAAAGCUGCCGAUACUCAGAUCUUCAAAGCUGUGCACGUGGGCGUACCUGCACACCAUCAGGUUUCCCAUCUCUGAAGGUAAAUGUGACUUUGGAUGAAGAAGACAAUUAAGGCAUGUUGAUUACAAAGGAAAAUGUUUGCUUUUGUUUGUUAAGCUUAAAGACCGCACUUGGAACAGCUUGAAAAGAAUUGGUACUCCUUGUGUGUUUGUGCGUCCUUUUGUUGUGUUGUUUAACUGAAAUACUAUUAAGUUUAUUUAUGGGCACCUGAAAUUUGGAAAUAUUUCUGAGUCUAAGUUAUUUGGAGUGUGUAUCAGAAACAAUCUCUUAGAACUUAUUGUGCAAUGAAAACAGCUGAAUAAUGUCUGGGAUUGACUCAGGG